This 301-nucleotide ribosomal RNA is filed under the name uncultured bacterium. RNAcentral describes it as "partial 16S ribosomal RNA". It matches the Rfam family "Bacterial small subunit ribosomal RNA", at positions 509 to 807 of the family's 1533-position model. The record is from RNAcentral.
CAGCAGCCACGGGAAUACAGAGGGUGCGAGCGUUAAUCGGAUUUACUGGGCGUAAAGCGUGUGUAGGUUGUUGUUCAAGUCAGUUGUGAAAUCCCUGGGCUCAACCUGGGAACUGCUUCUGAGACUGAACGACUAGAGUACGGUAGAGGGUGGUGGAAUUUCCGGUGUAGCGGUGAAAUGCGUAGAUAUCGGAAGGAACAUCAAUGGCGAAGGCAGCCACCUGGGCCUGUACUGACACUGAGACACGAAAGCGUGGGGAUCAAACAGGAUUAGAUACCCGCGUAGUCCCUGUCUCUUAUAC